RNAcentral lists this ribosomal RNA (2917 nucleotides) under Acinetobacter baumannii. RNAcentral describes it as "23S ribosomal RNA". It matches the Rfam family "Bacterial large subunit ribosomal RNA". The record is from RNAcentral. Lineage: Bacteria; Pseudomonadati; Pseudomonadota; Gammaproteobacteria; Moraxellales; Moraxellaceae.
GUUGUAUAGUCAAGUAAUUAAGUGCAUGUGGUGGAUGCCUUGGCAGUCAGAGGCGAUGAAAGACGUGAUAGCCUGCGAAAAGCUCCGGGAGGCGGCAAAUAUCCUUUGAUCCGGAGAUGUCUGAAUGGGGGAACCCACCUACUUUAAGGUAGGUAUUGCAACAUGAAUACAUAGUGUUGCAAGGCGAACGAGGGGAAGUGAAACAUCUCAGUACCCUUAGGAAAAGAAAUCAAUUGAGAUUCCCUCAGUAGCGGCGAGCGAACGGGGAUCAGCCCAUUAAGUUAUGUGUGUUUUAGUGGAACGCUCUGGGAAGUGCGAACGUAGAGGGUGAUAUUCCCGUACACGAAAGGGCACACAUAAUGAUGACGAGUAGGGCGAGGCACGUGAAACCUUGUCUGAAUAUGGGGGGACCAUCCUCCAAGGCUAAAUACUCCUGACUGACCGAUAGUGAACCAGUACCGUGAGGGAAAGGCGAAAAGAACCCCUGUGAGGGGAGUGAAAUAGAUCCUGAAACCGCAUGCAUACAAGCAGUGGGAGCACCUUCGUGGUGUGACUGCGUACCUUUUGUAUAAUGGGUCAGCGACUUAUAUUCAGUAGCGAGGUUAACCGUAUAGGGGAGCCGUAGAGAAAUCGAGUCUUAAUAGGGCGUUUAGUUGCUGGGUAUAGACCCGAAACCAGGCGAUCUAUCCAUGAGCAGGUUGAAGGUUGGGUAACACUAACUGGAGGACCGAACCCACUGUCGUUGAAAAGCCAGGGGAUGACUUGUGGAUAGGGGUGAAAGGCUAAUCAAGCCUGGUGAUAGCUGGUUCUCCCCGAAAGCUAUUUAGGUAGCGCCUCGGACGAAUACCAUAGGGGGUAGAGCACUGUUUCGGCUAGGGGGUCAUCCCGACUUACCAAACCGAUGCAAACUCCGAAUACCUAUGAGUACUAUCCGGGAGACAGACUGCGGGUGCUAACGUCCGUAGUCAAGAGGAAAACAAUCCAGACCGCCAGCUAAGGCCCCAAAAUCAUAGUUAAGUGGGAAACGAUGUGGGAAGGCAUAGACAGCUAGGAGGUUGGCUUAGAAGCAGCCACCCUUUAAAGAAAGCGUAAUAGCUCACUAGUCGAGUCGGCCUGCGCGGAAGAUGUAACGGGGCUAAAACUAUGUGCCGAAGCUGCGGAUGUAUACUUUGUAUACGUGGUAGGGGAGCGUUCUGUAAGCCGAUGAAGGUGUGUUGAGAAGCAUGCUGGAGGUAUCAGAAGUGCGAAUGCUGACGUGAGUAACGACAAAACGGGUGAAAAACCCGUUCGCCGAAAGACCAAGGGUUCCAGUCCAACGUUAAUCGGGGCUGGGUGAGUCGACCCCUAAGGCGAGGCCGAAAGGCGUAGUCGAUGGGAAAAUGGUUAAUAUUCCAUUACUUCUGUGUAAUGCGAUGAGAGGACGGAGAAGGCUAAAUCAGCCUGGCGUUGGUUGUCCAGGUGAAAGGAUGUAGGCAUGUAUCUUAGGCAAAUCCGGGGUACUCUAUGCUGAGAUCUGAUAGCAAGCUGUACUUGUACAGCGAAGUGGUUGAUGCCAUGCUUCCAGGAAAAGUCUCUAAGCUUCAGUUACACAGGAAUCGUACCCGAAACCGACACAGGUGGUCAGGUCGAGUAGACCAAGGCGCUUGAGAGAACUCUGCUGAAGGAACUAGGCAAAAUGGUACCGUAACUUCGGGAGAAGGUACGCUGUUGUUGGUGAUGGAACUCGCUUCCUGAGCUGACGACAGCCGCAGAAACCAGGCCGCUGCAACUGUUUAUUAAAAACAUAGCACUCUGCAAACACGAAAGUGGACGUAUAGGGUGUGAUGCCUGCCCGGUGCUGGAAGGUUAAUUGAUGGGGUUAGCGUAAGCGAAGCUCUUGAUCGAAGCCCCAGUAAACGGCGGCCGUAACUAUAACGGUCCUAAGGUAGCGAAAUUCCUUGUCGGGUAAGUUCCGACCUGCACGAAUGGCAUAAUGAUGGCGGCGCUGUCUCCAGCAGAGGCUCAGUGAAAUCGAAAUCGCUGUGAAGAUGCAGUGUACCCGCGGCUAGACGGAAAGACCCCGUGAACCUUUACUGCAGCUUGACACUGAACUUUGACCUUACUUGUGUAGGAUAGGUGGGAGGCUUUGAAGCUGGAACGCUAGUUCCAGUGGAGCCGUCCUUGAAAUACCACCCUGGUAAUGUUGAGGUUCUAACUCUGUCCCGUGAUCCGGGACGAGGACCGUGUCUGGUGGGUAGUUUGACUGGGGCGGUCUCCUCCUAAAGAGUAACGGAGGAGUACGAAGGUGCGCUCAGCGUGGUCGGAAAUCACGCGUAGAGUAUAAAGGCAAAAGCGCGCUUAACUGCGAGACCCACAAGUCGAGCAGGUACGAAAGUAGGUCUUAGUGAUCCGGUGGUUCUGUAUGGAAGGGCCAUCGCUCAACGGAUAAAAGGUACUCUGGGGAUAACAGGCUGAUACCGCCCAAGAGUUCAUAUCGACGGCGGUGUUUGGCACCUCGAUGUCGGCUCAUCUCAUCCUGGGGCUGAAGCAGGUCCCAAGGGUAUGGCUGUUCGCCAUUUAAAGAGGUACGCGAGCUGGGUUUAGAACGUCGUGAGACAGUUCGGUCCCUAUCUACCGUGGGCGCUGGAAAUUUGAGAGGAUCUGCUCCUAGUACGAGAGGACCAGAGUGGACGAACCUCUGGUGUACCGGUUGUGACGCCAGUCGCAUCGCCGGGUAGCUAUGUUCGGAAGGGAUAACCGCUGAAAGCAUCUAAGCGGGAAGCCUACCUCAAGAUAAGAUUUCCCUAGGACUUUAUGUCCUCUAAAGAGCCGUUCGAGACUAGGACGUUGAUAGGUUGGAUGUGGAAGCAUAGUGAUAUGUGAAGCUGACCAAUACUAAUUGCUCGUGAGGCUUGACUAUACAACACCCAAGCAGUUG